UGUUUUUUUUACACCAGAAUAUUUUUUUAGUGCCAGCUAGGAACUUAGUGGUGCAAAAUAAAACAUUCAUCAGCAAAUAUAAACAAAGAAAAUAGGAAUAUAAUCAAAUAACUAACAAUUAAAUAGUGGUAAAAGUCCCGAUGUUUUGUAUUAAAAUGAUGGUAAAAAGAGCUGAGCAUGUUCUGAAAUACUAAGAAGAGGACACACUCGAACUUGCUUUUAUAAAUAAUAUAUUUAUUUAAAUAUUUAUAAUAUAACAAACUCGAAUUUGCUUAUAUAAAUAAUAUAUUCAACUAAAUAUACCGUAUUUCCUUGAAUUGCCACCGGGGCGCUAAUUAAUUUAAAACCUCUUCUCACUUCUGCGCUUACCAAAGGCAUGCGGUAAAAGUAAGCAUGCACUAAUUAUAUUAAAACCUCUUCUCACUCCGGCACUUACCAAAGGCAUGCAGUAAAAAAAUGAGUGUGAUGUAAGCUGGGACUUUAAAUCGUACUGAAAAGCUCUUAAUCGUCUUCCCUUUAUGCGAUUUCAAAUUACCGGUAUUGAAAUCAGCCUCCUGCAUUUUGAAAAUGAUGACAGGGGAAGUGUCACUCGUGGGAGAAAAAAAAUAGAAGAUUAAAAUAAUAAAAAAAAUAAAAAGAAGACAAAUUUGUAUACAUGUGUAAAUGUAUUCAGUUAUAAACAUUCAUUCACUUUCUUCUUUCCUUCAUGAAUCUAAACUUUACCACUGAUGCUAGUUUUUAUCUAAUAAGUUGUAGGUGUAUUUAUUUCAGUAUAAAAGUAUUUCGCUUGGGUCAUCUAUAUUUUAUUUAAAAAUGUUUUAGUUUUUUGUUGGUUUUUUUUUCUUUGUUUGUUUUCCGCACUUUUUUGUCAGACAUAACUGUUUUUUUUUUAAUGGCAAACACACAAAAUAUGCAAAAUCUUCCACCAAAGUGGAAUAUUUGAUGGGAACCUUGGAUAGAACAAUAAUUAAUAACAUUGAUUUUGAGUCAAUAUUAUAUUUUGAUCAAUGACAGUUUGAAAGAAAACAAACUGUUGUGUUUUAUUGGUCAACAUUGCAACGUUUUCUAAACGACAUUUCCCCUUUUAAGCUUUUUUUUAAUUUCACUUUUCUUGUGUUUUUGUUUAUUUUAAUAGUAUUUUUAGAAUGUGCCGCCAAAGGCCACACUUUUGACACCCCUGCUAUAAAUAAUAAACAAAUAAAUCGGAUAAAUCUAUGGCUAAAAAGCAGCCUGGCGACGCAUGCGCGCUUGUCACAACUCUCUCUCUCUCUCUCCGUCUCAGCCCCUCCCUCACGAAUGUUGCUGCGCGCGCACACCCUCAUCAUUUGUUUUGUUUUUAACACUUUCCUAACCCCGGAAGUGAACUGGAAAUGGACGCAAAAUGGCGGACAUUUCAGGCAUUGAAGACACUCCGACCAGACAGCCCGCCAAAGAGGACAAGUCCGGGGAAAAGUGGACGAAUGGUCAGUUUAUCGUAAAGCUAAGUUGGCAUAAACACAUAGCUUUCUUACUAUGCUAACUGUUCCCUUUGUAGCAAGCUAACAUGCUAACUUUUGCUAUGUCAUCAUGCUAAUGUUUUAUGCAAAAUGUUUCGCUCAUUUGAACGUAAAUAUAAAAGUUCAACACUCCAAUUUUAUCACGCUAACAUUAGCAUUGUUUGUUUUUGAUGAUUAGUCUUGAAAGUAUGCCAACUGUGCCUGCUAUAACGAGCCAUUGUUAGCAUGCUAACAUUUUACACAAAAAAUUGUGGCUUUCGAUACUUUGCGCCAUUUUAUAAGUGUGCUAACUUUUCCUAUGUCAUCAUGCUAAUGUUUUAUAAAACUUUUUUUUAGUUAAUUUGAACCGAAGUAUAUUUUUCGACCAUUGGCGCCAGCUAGCUUUUCCAAUUGCAUCAUGCUAACAUUAGCAUUGUUUGUUUCUGAUGAUUAAAAGUUGAAAUUUAUGGGAUUUUUCAGACAUGUCUUAGUCUUGAAAGUAUGCCAACCAAGCUAUUAUUAGCAUGCUAAAAUUUUAUGCUGUCUUUUUAACUGAUGUUAUUCAUUUGAACCUAAAAAUAAUCGCUUUGGAUACUCGGCGCCAUCUUAGAUGUAUGUUAACGUUUCCUAUUUUCUCAUGCUAACAUUAGCAUUGUUUGUUUUUGAUGAUUAGUCUUGAAAGUAUGCCAACUGUGCCUGCUAUAACGAGCCAUUGUUAGCAUGCUAACAUUUUACACCAAAAAUUGUGGGUUUCGAUACUUUGCGCCAUUUUAUAAGUGUGCUAACUUUUCCAAUGUCAUCAUGCUAAUGUUUUAUGAAAACUUUUUUUUUUUAGUUAAUUUGAACCUAAGUAUAUAUUUCAACCAUUGGCGCCAGCUAGCUUCUCCAAUUGUAUCAUGCUAACAUUAACAUUGUUUGUUUCUGUUGAUUAAAAGUUCAAAUUUAUGUGUUUUUUCAGACGUGUCUUAGUCUUGAAAGUAUGCCAACUAAGCUAUUAUUAGCAUGCUAGAAUUUUUAUGGUAGCUUUUUAGCUGAUGUUAUUCAUUUGAACCUAAAAAUAAUUGCUUCGGGUACUCGGCGCCAUCUUAGAAGUAUGUUAACGUUUCCUAUUUUCUCAUGCUAACAUUAGCAUUGUUUGUUUUUGAUGAUUAGUCUUGAAAGUAUGCCAACUGUGCCUGCUAUAACGAGCCAUUGUUAGCAUGCUAACAUUUUACACCAAAAAUUGUGGCUUUCGAUACUUUGCGCCAUUUUAUAAGUGUGCUAACUUUUCCUAUGUCAUCAUGCUAAUGUUAUAUAAAAACUUUUUUUUAGUUAAUUUGAACCUAAGUAUAUAUUUCGACCAUUGGCGCCAGCUGGCUUCUCCAAUUGCAUCAUGCUAACAUUAGCAUUGUUUGUUUCUGAUGAUUGAAAGUUAAAAUUUAUGGGGUUUUCCAGACAUGUCUUAGUCGUGAAAGUAUGCCAAAUAAGCUAUUAUUAGCAUGCUAGAAUUUUAUGGUAGCUUUUUAGCUGAUGUUAUUCAUUUGAACCUAAAAAUAUUGGCUUUGGAUACUCGGCGCCAUCUUAGAAGUAUGUUAACGUUUCCUAUUUUCUCAUGCUAACGUUAGCAUGGUUUGAUUUUGAUUAUUCAAACCUAAAAUGUAUGCGUUUUUGAGACGUGUCCAUCUUGCAAGCGUACUAACUUCCUAAUAUAACGAGCUAAUGUUAGCAUGCUAUUUUUUUAUGUUAGCAUUUUUGCUCAUUUAUAUACGUAUGAAACUAAAUAUCAUGGCUUUCAGUACUUGGCUCCGUCUUAUACGUUUGCUAACUAUUCCUGUGUGAUCAUGCUAAUGUUUUAUGCAAGCUUUUUAGCUCCUUUUAACCUAAAUAUAUAUUUCAACACUUGGCGCCAGCUAGCUUCCCCAAUUUUAUCACGCUAACAUUAGUAUUGUUUUUUUUUAUGAUUAGUCUUGAAAGUAUGCCAACUGUGCCUGCUAUAACGAGCCAUUGUUAGCAUGCUAACAUUUUACACUAAAAAUUGUGGCUUUCGAUACUUUGCGCCAUUUUAUAAGUGUGCCAACUUUUCCUAUGUCAUCAUGCUAAUGUUAUAUAAAAACUUUUUUUUAGUUAAUUUGAACCUAAGUAUAUAUUUCAACCAUGGCGCCAGCUAGCUUCUCCAAUUGUAUCAUGCUAACAUUAGCAUUGUUUGUUUCUGAUGAUUGAAAGUUAAAAUUUAUGGGGUUUUUCAGACAUGUCUUAGUCUUGAAAGUAUGCCAACCAAGCUAUUAUUAGCAUGCUAGAAUUUUUAUGCUAGCUUUUUAGCUGAUGUUAUUCAUUUGAACCUAAAAAUAAUCGCUUUGGAUACUCGGCGCCAUCUUAGAAGUAUGUUAACGUUUCCUAUUUUCUCAUGCUAACAUUAGCAUUGUUUAUUUUUGAUGAUUAGUCUUGAAAGUAUGCCAACUGUGCCUGCUAUAACGAGCCAUUGUUAGCAUGCUAACCUUUUUCCACAAAAAAUUGUGGCUUUCGAUACUUUGCGCCAUUUUAUAAGUGUGCCAACUUUUCCUAUGUCAUCAUGCUAAUGUUAUAUAAAAACUUUUUUUUAGUUAAUUUGAACCUAAGUAUAUAUUUCAACCAUGGCGCCAGCUAGCUUCUCCAAUUGUAUCAUGCUAACAUUAGCAUUGUUUGUUUCUGAUGAUUGAAAGUUAAAAUUUAUGGGGUUUUUCAGACAUGUCUUAGUCUUGAAAGUAUGCCAACCAAGCUAUUAUUAGCAUGCUAGAAUUUUUAUGCUAGCUUUUUAGCUGAUGUUAUUCAUUUGAACCUAAAAAUAAUCGCUUUGGAUACUCGGCGCCAUCUUAGAAGUAUGUUAACGUUUCCUAUUUUCUCAUGCUAACAUUAGCAUUGUUUAUUUUUGAUGAUUAGUCUUGAAAGUAUGCCAACUGUGCCUGCUAUAACGAGCCAUUGUUAGCAUGCUAACCUUUUUCCACAAAAAAUUGUGGCUUUCGAUACUUUGCGCCAUUUUAUAAGUGUGCUAACUUUUCCUAUGUCAUCAUGCUAAUGUUUUAUGAAAACUUUUUUUUUUUAGUUAAUUUGAACCUAAGUAUAUAUUUCAACCAUUGGCGCCAGCUAGCUUCUCCAAUUGUAUCAUGCUAACAUUAGCAUUGUUUGUUUCUGAUGAUUGAAAAUUAAAAUUUAAGGGAUUUUUCAGUAAUGUCUUAGUCUUGAAAGUAUGCCAACUAAGCUAUUAUUAGCAUGCUAGAAUUUUAUGGUAGCUUUUUAGCUGAUGUUAUUCAUUUGAACCUAAAAAUAAUCGCUUUGGAUACUCGGCGCCAUCUUAGAAGUAUCUUAACGUUUCCUAUUUUCUCAUGCUAACGUUAGCAUGGUUUGAUUUUGAUUAUUAAAACCUAAAAUGUAUGCGUUUUUGAGACGUGUCCAUCUUGCAAGCGUACUAACUUCCUAGUAUAACAAGCUAAUGUUAGCAUGCAAAUUUUUUAUGGCAUAACCACAUAGCUUUUUGAAUAUGCUAACUGUUCGCGUUAUAGCAAGCUAACGUGCUAACUUUUGCCAUGUUAUCAUGCUAAUGUUAAUGCAAGCUAUUUAGCUCUUUUGAACCUAAAUAUAUAUUUCAACACUUGGCGCCAGCUGGCUUCUCCAAUUUUAUCACGCUAACAUUAGCAUUGUUUGUUUUUGAUGAUUAGUCUUGAAAGUAUGCCAACUGUGCCUGCUAUAACGAGCCAUUGUUAGCAUGCUGACAUUUUACGCUAGCUUUUUAGUUCACUUUAUUCCGUUGAACCUAAAAAUUGUGGCUUUCGAUACUUUGCGCCAUCUUAUAAGUGUGCUAACUUUUCCUAUGUCAUCUUGUUAAUGUUUUAUGCAAGCUUUUUUAGCUCAUUUGAACUUAAAUAUGUUUUUCAACACUUGGCGCCAGCUAGCUUCUCCGAAUGAUCAAAACCUAAAAUUUAUGGGGUUUUUGAGACAUGUCUUAAUCUUGAAAUUAUAUCAAUGAAGCUAUUAUUAGCAUGCUAGCAUUUAUGCUAGGUUUUUAGCUCAUUUUAUUCAUUUGAACCUAAAAAUCCUGGCUUUGGAUACUUGGCGCCAUCUUAGAAGUAUGUUAACGUUUCCUAUUUUAUCAUGCUAAUGUUAGCAUGGGUUGAUUUUUAUUAAGUGGCGCGAUCUUAGAAUUAUGUUAACGUUUCCUAUUUUCUCAUGCUAACGUUAGCAUGGAUUGAUUUUGAUUAUUCAAACCUAAAAUUCAUGGGUUUUUGAGAAAUGUCUUAAUCUUGCAGCUAUGCUAACUGUUCCUAAUAUAACAAGCCAAUGUAUACACCACCAUGUCAUAGUCUGAGUACACACCACCACCACGUCAUAAUCGGAGUACACACCACCACCACGUCAUAAUCGGAGUACACACCACCACCACGUCAUAGUCGGAGUACACACCACCACCACGUCAUAGUCGGAGUACACACCACCACCACGUCAUAGUCGGAGUACACAACACCACCACGUCAUAGUCGGAGUACACACCACCACCACGUUGUAGUCGGAGUACACACCACCACCACGUUGUAGUCGGAGUACACACCAACCCCACGUCAUAAUCAAUCAAUCAAUCAAUCAAUCUUUAUUUAUAUAGCCCCAAAUCACAAAUGUCUCAAAGGACUGCACAAAUCAUUACGACUACAACAUCCUCGGAAGAACCCACAAAAGGGCAAGGAAAACUCACACCCAGUGGGCAGGGAGAAUUCACAUCCAGUGGGACGCCAGUGACAAUGCUGACUAUGUGAAACCUUGGAGAGGACCUCAAAUGUGGGCAACCCCCCCCUCUAGGGGACCGAAAGCAAUGGAUGUCGAGCGGGUCUAACAUGAUACUGUGAAAGUUCAAUCCAUAGUGGCUCCAUGACAGCAGCGAGAAUCCCGUCCACAGGAAACCAUCUCAAGCGGAUCAGCAGCGUAGAGAUGUCCCCAACCGAUACAGGCAAGCGGUCCAUCCUGGGUCCCAACGUCAUAAUCGGAGUACACACCACCACGUUGUAGUCGGAGUACACACCACCCCAAAGUCAUAAUCGGAGUACACACCACCACAUAGUCGGAGUACACACCACCACCACGUUGUAGUCGGAGUACACACCACCACCACGUCAUAGUCGGAGUACACACCACCACCACGUCGUAGUCGGAGUACACACCACCACCACGUCAUAGUGGAGUACACACCACCACCACGUCAUAGUCUGAGUACACACCACCACCACGUCAUAGUGGAGUACACACCACCACCACGUCAUAGUCGGAGUACACACCACCACCACCACGUCAUAGUCGGAGUACACACCACCACCACCACGUCACAGUCGGAGUACACACCACCACCAUGUCAUAGUCGGAGUAAACCCACACACCCUUUUUCUUCCAUGCUAGGGCACACUGUUCUCUCCCAGCGGUCCUCAAACGCCUCAUAUGGUUCCCGUUAAUCCCUCCAUGCAUAGAAAUCAGCAAUCAGAGGAAGUGCAAGAUUGGUGGAGAAGAUCAGCGCCUGUUCUGAACUCCUACUUGAUGACCAGCAGCUGGGAAGAAACUUCUGGAAAACCUGCAGCAGGAACCUUGCAACGAAGGCCCCCUACAACCACUUUUGUUCCGCUUUUCCCUUUGAUAUUGUCCAGCAAUGGAAAACAAACACUCUCACACACACACACAGGCUGAGAGGACGGUUAGGAUGUAAAAAAAAGAUAAAAAAGAAGAAAAUAACAAGAAGAAGAUGAUGAUGAAGAAGAAGAAAAAGAAAAUAAAAAAGAAAAUGACAUGAAGAAGAAGAAAAAAACACGAAGUUGUUGAUGAAGAAGAUAAACAAGAAGAAAAUAACACAAAAAAAAGAUAAAGAAGACAAAGAAGAAAAAGAAGAUAAAGAAGACAAUAAAGAAGAAAAUGACACAAAGAAGAAGAAAAACACACGUUGAAGAAGUUGAUGAUGAAGAUAAAGAAGAAGAAAAUAACACGAAAAAGAAGAUAAAGAAGACAAAAAUGACACAAAGAAGAUGAAGAAGAAAAAGAAAAAAACAUGAUGAAGAAGCUGAUGAUGAAGAAGAAGAUAAAGAAGAAACUAACACGAAAAAGAAGAUAAAGAAGAUGAAAAUUACACAAAGAAGAAGAUGAUGAAGAAAAAGAAAAUAAAGAAAAAUAAAACGACACGAAGAAAAACAUGAUGAACAAAAAGAAGAUAUAGAAGAUAACAUGAAGAAGAAGAUGCUGAUGAAGAAGAUAAAAAGGAAGAAAAUAACACUAAGAAGAUGAUGAUGAAGAAGAAAAUGAAGAUAAAGAAGAAAAUGACAUGAAGAAGACAAAGAAGAAGAAGAAGAAAAUAACUUAAUGAAGAAGUUGAUAAAGAAGAAGAAAAUAACAUGAAAAAGAAGAUAAAGAAGAAGAAAAUGAGACAAAGAAGAAGAUGAUAAUGAAGGACAAGAUAAAGUUGAAGAAAACAACACAAAGAAGAAGAUGAUGAUGUAGAAGAGGAAAAAGAAAAUUACAUGAAGAAGAAGAUAAAGAAGAAGAAAAUAACACGAAGAUGAUGAUGAAGAAGAAAAAGAAGAAAAUAACACAAAAAAGGAGAUAAAAAUGACAAAAAUAACAAGAAAAUAAAGAAGAAAAUGACAGGAAGAAGAAGAUGAUGAAGAAAAAGAUAAAGACAACAACACAAAGAAGAUGAUGAAGGUGAUGUAAAAGAAGAUAAAUAAGGAGAAAAUAACAUGAAGAUGAUGAAGAAGAAGAAGAUAAAGAAGAAAAUGACACAAAGAAGAUAAAGAAGAAGAAAAUAACACGAUGAAGAAGUUGAUGAAGAAGAAGAUAAAGAAGAAGAAAAUAACACGAUGAUGAAGAUAAAGAAGAAAAAAAUAACAUGAAGAUGAUGAUGAAGAAGAUAAAGAAGAAGUAAAUAACAUGAAGAAGAAUAAGAUAAUGAUGAUGAAGAUAAAGAAGAAGGUAAAGAAAAAGAAGAUAAAGAAGUUGAAGAAGAAGAAGAAAAUAACACAAUGAAGAAGAUAAAGAAGAAGAAAAUAACAUGAAGAAGAAGAGGAUGAUUAAGAAGAUAAAGAAGAAGAUAAAGAAAAAUAAAAUAACUCAAAGAAGAAGAUGUCAAUGAAAAAGAAGAUAAAGAAGAACAUGAAGAAAAUGACAAGAAGACAAAGAAAAAGAAAAUGACACAAAGAAGACAAUAAAGAAGAAAAAACAUGGAGAUGAUGAUGAAGAAGAAGAUAAAGAAGAAGAAAAUAACUAGAAGAAGAAGAUGAUAAUGAUGAAGGAAAUGCGAGGAGUUGAGUUGAUACCAAAAUGGAUACAUGGAUGAUACAGCAGAGGAUUGGCAGAAUGUCAUGUGGUCAGAUGAAACCAAAAUAGAACUUUUUGCUUUAAACUCAGCUGGUGGUGUUUGGAGGAAGAAGAAUACUGAGUUGCAUCCCAAGAACACCAUACCUACUGUGAAGCAUGGGGGUGGAAACAUCAUGCUUUGGGGCUGUUUUUCUGCUAAGGGGACAGGACGAUUGAUCCGUGUUAAGGAAAGAAUGAAUGAGGCCAUGUAUCCUGAGAUUUUCAGCCAAAUCCUUCCAUGAAUGGUUGACCAAAUACUUAUUUUCCACCAUAGUUUACAAAUAAAUUCUUUAAAAUUCCUACAA
This is a long non-coding RNA of Nerophis ophidion (straightnose pipefish), 9112 nucleotides long. RefSeq lists it as uncharacterized. Lineage: Eukaryota; Metazoa; Chordata; Actinopteri; Syngnathiformes; Syngnathidae. The transcript is spliced from 2 exons. The record is from RefSeq and is a predicted model, not a curated record.